CGGCGAACGGGUGAGUAACACGUGGGUAACCUACCCUCGGCACUGGGAUAGCCCGGGGAAACCCGGAUUAAUACCGGAUAGCCUUACGGACUCUCGGGCUCGUGAGGAAAGGUAGCUUUGGCCUCCGGCCGAGGAUGGGCCCGCGGCGGAUUAGCUUGUUGGUGAGGUAACGGCUCACCAAGGCAACGAUCCGUAGCUGGUCUGAGAGGACGAUCAGCCACACUGGGACUGAGACACGGCCCAG
This 244-nucleotide ribosomal RNA is filed under the name uncultured bacterium. RNAcentral describes it as "partial 16S ribosomal RNA". It matches the Rfam family "Bacterial small subunit ribosomal RNA", at positions 96 to 334 of the family's 1533-position model. The record is from RNAcentral.